CCCUACGGGUGGCUGCAGUGAGGAAUAUUGGUCAAUGGGCGCGAGCCUGAACCAGCCAAGUCGCGUGAGGGAUGACGGCCCUACGGGUUGUAAACCUCUUUUGCCGGGGAGCAACGGGCGCCACGUGUGGCGCCACUGAGAGUACCCGGAGAAAAAGCAUCGGCAAACCCCGUGCCGGCCGCCGCGGUAAUACGGAGGAUGAGAGCGUUAUCCGGUUUUAUUGGGUUUAAAGGGGGCGUAGGCGGAUCGUUAUGUCAGUGGUCAAAUUGAGGGGCUCAACCCCUUCCCGCCAUUGAAACUGGCGCUCUUGAGUGGAAGAGAAGUAGGCGGAAUGCGUGGUGUAGCGGUGAAAUGCAUAGAGAUCACGCAGAACCCCGAUUGCGAAGGCAGCAUGCCGGCUUCCGACUGACGCUGAAGCACGAAAGCGUGGGGAUCGAACAGGAUUAGAUACCCUAGUAGUC
This 461-nucleotide ribosomal RNA is filed under the name uncultured bacterium. Its description in RNAcentral is "partial 16S ribosomal RNA". It matches the Rfam family "Bacterial small subunit ribosomal RNA", at positions 337 to 795 of the family's 1533-position model. The record is from RNAcentral.